GAUGAACGCUGGCGGCGUGCCUAAUACAUGCAAGUCGAGCGAACAGAUAAGGAGCUUGCUCCUUUGACGUUAGCGGCGGACGGGUGAGUAACACGUGGGUAACCUACCUAUAAGACUGGGAUAACUUCGGGAAACCGGAGCUAAUACCGGAUAACAUUUGGAACCGCAUGGUUCUAAAGUGAAAGAUGGUUUUGCUAUCACUUAUAGAUGGACCCGCGCCGUAUUAGCUAGUUGGUAAGGUAACGGCUUACCAAGGCGACGAUACGUAGCCGACCUGAGAGGGUGAUCGGCCACACUGGAACUGAGACACGGUCCAGACUCCUACGGGAGGCAGCAGUAGGGAAUCUUCCGCAAUGGGCGAAAGCCUGGCGGAGCAACGCCGCGUGAGUGAUGAAGGGUUUCGGCUCGUAAAACUCUGUUAUUAGGGAAGAACAAACGUGUAAGUAACUGUGCACGUCUUGACGGUACCUAAUCAGAAAGCCACGGCUAACUACGUG
RNAcentral lists this ribosomal RNA (497 nucleotides) under uncultured bacterium. RNAcentral's name for it is "partial 16S ribosomal RNA". It matches the Rfam family "Bacterial small subunit ribosomal RNA", at positions 28 to 507 of the family's 1533-position model. The record is from RNAcentral.